RNAcentral lists this ribosomal RNA (467 nucleotides) under uncultured bacterium. Its description in RNAcentral is "partial 16S ribosomal RNA". It matches the Rfam family "Bacterial small subunit ribosomal RNA", at positions 28 to 506 of the family's 1533-position model. The record is from RNAcentral.
GACGAACGCUGGCGGCGUGCUUAACACAUGCAAGUCGAACGGAAAGUCCCUGCUUUUGUGGGGUGCUCGAGUGGCGAACGGGUGAGUAACACGUGAGUAACCUGCCCUUGACUUUGGGAUAACGUCAGGAAACUGGGGCUAAUACCGGAUAGGAUCUCCUGUAGCAUGGUGGGGGUUGGAAAGUUUCGGCGGUUGGGGAUGGACUCGCGGCUUAUCAGCUUGUUGGUGGGGUAGUGGCUUACCAAGGCUUUGACGGGUAGCCGGCCUGAGAGGGUGACCGGCCCCAUUGGGCCUGAGAUACGGCCCAGACGCCUACGGGAGGAAGGAGUGGAGAAUAUUGCACAAUGGGCGGAAGCGUGAUGCAGGAACUCCGCGUGCGAGAUGCCGGCCUUCGGGUAGUAAAACGCUUUCGCUUGUGACGAAGCGUGAGGAAGGGUAAUGGGUAAAGAAGCACCGCCUAAUUACUU